AGAGUUUGAUCCUGGCUCAGAAUCAACGCUGGCGGCGUGCCUAACACAUGCAAGUCGCACGAGAAAGUGGAGCAAUCCAUGAGUAAAGUGGCGCACGGGUGAGUAACACGUGAAUGAUCUACCUCCGAGUGGGGAAUAACUGAGAGAAAUCUUAGCUAAUACCGCAUAACACUUACGAGUCAAAGCAGCAAUGCGCUUGGAGAGGAGUUCGCGGCCGAUUAGUUAGUUGGCGGGGUAAUGGCCCACCAAGACGAUGAUCGGUAUCCGGCCUGAGAGGGCGCACGGACACACUGGAACUGAAACACGGUCCAGACUCCUACGGGAGGCAGCAGUGGGGAAUUUUGCGCAAUGGGGGAAACCCUGACGCAGCAACGCCGCGUGGAGGAUGAAAUAUCUUGGUAUGUAAACUCCUUUCGAUGGGGAAGAUUAUGACGGUACCCAUAGAAGAAGCCCCGGCUAACUUCGUGCCAGCAGCCGCGGUAAUACGAGGGGGGCAAGCGUUGUUCGGAAUUAUUGGGCGUAAAGGGUGCGUAGGCGGUUUGGCAAGUCUUAUGUGAAAUCUCUGGGCUCAACCCAGAGUCUGCAUGAGAAACUGCCGGGCUUGAGUAUGGGAGAGGUGAGUGGAAUUUCCGGUGUAGCGGUGAAAUGCGUAGAUAUCGGAAGGAACACCUGUGGCGAAAGCGGCUCACUGGACCAUUACUGACGCUGAUGCACGAAAGCUAGGGGAGCAAACAGGAUUAGAUACCCCCGUAGUCC
This 756-nucleotide ribosomal RNA is filed under the name uncultured bacterium. RNAcentral describes it as "bacterial SSU rRNA". It matches the Rfam family "Bacterial small subunit ribosomal RNA", at positions 8 to 796 of the family's 1533-position model. The record is from RNAcentral.